CAGCCGCCGCGGGAAUACAGAGGCCUCAAGUGUUGUUCGGAUUCAUUGGGCGUAAAGGGUGCGUAGGUGGCUUGGUAAGUUGAAGGUGAAAUCUCGGGGCUUAACCCCGAAACUGCCUUCAAUACUGCUAGGCUCGAGGACUGUAGAGGAGAAUGGAAUUCACGGUGUAGCAGUGAAAUGCGUAGAUAUCGUGAGGAAGACCAGUGGCGAAGGCGAUUCUCUGGGCAGUUCCUGACACUGAGGCACGAAGGCCAGGGGAGCAAACGGGAUUAGAUACCCCGGUAGUCCCUGUCUCUUAUAC
Molecule: ribosomal RNA, 301 nt
Filed under: uncultured bacterium
Lineage: Bacteria
Description: partial 16S ribosomal RNA
Rfam family: Bacterial small subunit ribosomal RNA
Source: RNAcentral